This 348-nucleotide unclassified non-coding RNA is filed under the name fungal sp. RNAcentral describes it as "partial internal transcribed spacer region". The stretch from base 1 to 46 matches the Rfam family "Eukaryotic small subunit ribosomal RNA", at positions 1786 to 1831 of the family's 1831-position model. Lineage: Eukaryota; Fungi. The record is from RNAcentral.
AAGUCGUAACAAGGUCUCCGUAGGUGAACCUGCGGAGGGAUCAUUAACACGUUUUUAUUAACGUUCCCACCAAACAAAAGGAAACGAAAGAGGAGGAAAGUGACAACGAUCCAAAUCUUAGCUAAGCUCCCUACCAACGUACGUGUACAGAAGUAGGCUAUUCUUUUAUUAACCCCUUUCCAACUAGAUUUUGAGAUUCUCUCAAGAUCGACUAACUUGCCCUGUAUCUAGUAGUGUAGGAAUUGAUAAUAAUAAUUAAUUUUAUUAAUUUUAUUCUUUUUUCCUUUCCCUUCUAGCUUGAUAUUUAAAUGCAAAGCACAACUCUUAGCAACGGAUAUCUUGGUUCUC